GGACUGAGACACGGCCCACACACCUACGGGUGGCAGCAGUUGGGAAUCUUGCACAAUGGGGGAAACCCUGAUGCAGCGACGCCGCGUGGAGGAUGAAGGGUCUAGGCCUGUAAACUCCUUUUAUGGGGAAAGACUUAGGACGGUACCCCAUGAAUAAGGACCGGCUAACUACGUGCCAGCAGCCGCGGUAAGACGUAGGGUCCAAGCGUUAUCCGGAUUUACUGGGCGUAAAGCGCGCGUAGGCGGUCUGUUAAGUGCACAAGUGAAAGCUCCGGGCUCAACUCGGAAAUUGCUUUGCAUACUGGCAGGCUGGAGGGACGCAGAGGUCUGUGGAAUUCCUGGUGUAACGGUGAAAUGUGUUGAUAUCAGGAGGAACACCCAUGGCGAAGGCAGCAGACUGGGCGUUUCCUGACGCUGAGGCGCGAAAGCGUGGGUAGCAAACAGGAUUAGAUACCCUGGUAGUCCACGCCCUAAACGAUGGAUACUAGGCGUAGGAGGUAUCGACCCCUCCUGUGCCGCAGCAAACGCAUUAAGUAUCCCGCCUGGGGAGUACGGCCGCAAGGUUGAAACUCAAAUGAAUUGACGGGGACCCGCACAAGCGGUGGAGCAUGUGGAUUAAUUCGAUACUAACCGAAGAACCUUACCCACUCUUGACAUUGAAGGAAAGCUCUAGAGAUAGAGCCCUCUCUCACAAGGAGACCUGAAAACAGAUGUUGCAUGGCUGUCGUCAGCUCGUGCCGUGAGGUGUACGGUUAAGUCCGCCAACGAGCGCAACCCUCGUUCUGUGUUACCAGCGAGUAAUGUCGGGCACUCACAGGAGACCGCCGGUGUAAGCCGGAGGAAGGUGGGGAUGAUGUCAAGUCAGCAUGGCUCUUACGAGUGGGGCUUCACACAUGCUACAAUGGGCGCAACAAAGGGCAGCGAUACCGCGAGGUGGAGCAAAUCCCAAAAAUACGUCCUCAGUUCAGAUUGCAGUCUGCAACUCGACUGCAUGAAGGCGGAAUCGCUAGUAAACGCAGGUCAGCUAUACUGCGUUGAAUACGUUCCCGGGUCUUGUACACACCGCCCGUCAAGUCACUUGAAUUGUCUUCACCCGAAGUCCGUGGCCUAACCCGCAAGGGAAGGAGCGGCCGAAGGUGAGGGGGGUAAGAGGGACUAAGUCGCAACAAGGUACCCGUACCGGAAGGUGUGGGUG
Molecule: ribosomal RNA, 1195 nt
Filed under: metagenome
Description: bacterial SSU rRNA
Rfam family: Bacterial small subunit ribosomal RNA
Source: RNAcentral